CAGUAGCCGCGGGAAAACGGAGGGUGCAAGCGUUAAUCGGAAUUACUGGGCGUAAAGCGCACGCAGGCGGUCUGACAAGUCAGAUGUGAAAUCCCCGGGCUUAACCUGGGAACUGCAUUUGAAACUGUCAGGCUGGAGUCUUGUAGAGGGGGGUGGAAUUCCAGGUGUAGCGGUGAAAUGCGUAGAGAUCUGGAGGAAUACCGGUGGCGAAGGCGGCCCCCUGGACAAAGACUGACGCUCAGGUGCGAAAGCGUGGGGAGCAAACAGGAUUAGAGACCCCAGUAGUCCCUGUCUCUUAUAC
RNAcentral lists this ribosomal RNA (301 nucleotides) under uncultured bacterium. Its description in RNAcentral is "partial 16S ribosomal RNA". It matches the Rfam family "Bacterial small subunit ribosomal RNA", at positions 509 to 807 of the family's 1533-position model. The record is from RNAcentral.